This 77-nucleotide transfer RNA is filed under the name Sphingomonas sp. S2M10. Its description in RNAcentral is "tRNA-Ala". The record is from RNAcentral. Lineage: Bacteria; Pseudomonadati; Pseudomonadota; Alphaproteobacteria; Sphingomonadales; Sphingomonadaceae.
AUCGCGGUAGGCGAGCCGGCGCGCCUCAGCCUGCUCGCGGCUGCCUUGACCCGCGAUCAUGUACGUCGCCACGGUCC